GACCCUUCCCCCACAAACUGUCAGUCUUAUUUCCUUUCCACACCACUAAGAGACCAUCUUGAGGUCCACAAUGAGAUGAAAUCAGAUGCUGGUCCAACUCUUUAAUGAAGACGAAAGCAACACAUAGACAGAUGCUCCUAAAGGUAGAUGAUUUAAAAUUGAUACGAUAAUAUGAAAAUGGCAACAUUGGAUUAAAAUUGUAUAGUUCUUCUAUCCUUUAUAAAGAUUAUUUCCUUGGGUCCUCACUGUAUCCCUUGUGAGCUUUCUUGAAAUGCCCUGGAGUCAAUACAGUGUAAUUAUGGCUCCAUACCAGAGGCUACAAAUUGAUUCCAAACGAGGGAUAUGGUGGGCAUAUUUGGCAGAGUAGGACCCGCCUCUGUUCCUUUUCAUGAUGCCAAUUUCCUUUGUCCAGAAUCUGCUUGAUUUCAAGAGGCAAUAUUCCCACCUACAGAGAGAGAGACUGGAAAGCCCCUAAUUCCUGUCAAGAGAAGUGAUUGUAGUUCUUGAACUGCUAGCUGUGGACCUUUAGACAAAUUAUGCAGCUGCCAGCUUUUGAAAAUAGCAAGGAUACCUGCCCUUCCUUCUUCAUAGGGUUAUUGAGGCAGAACAUAAACUGAUGGACACAAAAUAACGUAUUUAAAAUAUUUUUAAAAGUGGCCUCGGAAUGAAAGAUUCAAGUUGCUAAAAUAAUUAGCAUUAUUAGUCACCAAAGAAGCAGUGGAAUUGAAAAAUUAAAGACAUGGGUUUAGGACCUUUUUUAAAAUUGCAAUCAGAAUAAAUUACAUGGCAAACUCAAUUUCUGCUGCGUGUCCUUUUGGAGAGAAAACUUUGAAAUUACUCAUAUACUUUACUUGUAAUGAGGAAUUUGGAGUAAUAUUUAAACAAGAUCAAAUGUUUCUAAGCUGCAUACUCAUUUGAGUCCAUGUAUUUGUCUCUGACAACUAAAGAGGCAAUAUGGAUGUUGUUAAUCGUUAUACAUCCAAAAUAAAUAGUUCCUUUUAGUUCACUUCUUUUGACCAUAUCCAUGUCUUAUGUACAUAAGAAAAUAAUAAGAUAUUAAUGAGUAUAUUUUCUAAGUCACUCUCCUGAAUCCAGAGUCUUU
Molecule: long non-coding RNA, 1102 nt
Organism: Monodelphis domestica (gray short-tailed opossum)
Lineage: Eukaryota; Metazoa; Chordata; Mammalia; Didelphimorphia; Didelphidae
Source: RefSeq, a predicted model, not a curated record